GCUAGAAUGCCCUUGAUGGGUCCGGAGACGGAUCGUUCCGCAAGACAAGGAGCAAGGUGCUGCAUGGCUGUCGUCAGCUCGUGCCGUGAGGUGUUGGGUAAGUCCCGCAACGAGCGCAACCCUUAUUUUUAGUUGCCAGCACGUCAAGUGGGGACUCUAAAAAGACUGCCCGCGCAAGCGGAGAGGAAGGAGGGGAUGACGUCAAGUCAUCAUGGCCCUUACGCCCAGGGCUACACACGUGCUACAAUGGCGCAUACAAAGUGUUGCAAUCCGGUGACGGAAAGCCAAUCACAAAAAGUGCGUCUCAGUUCGGAUUGCAGGCUGCAACUCGCCUGCAUGAAGCUGGAAUCGCUAGUAAUCGCGCAUCAGCAAUGGCGCGGUGAAUGCGUUCCCGGACCUUGUACACACCGCCCGUCAAGCCAUGGGAGUUGGGAGGACCUGAAGGCAGUUGCUGUGAGGCGCUGUUUAGGGUAAACUAAUGACUGGGGCUAAGUCGUAACAAGGUAGCCGUAAAGGGCGAAUU
RNAcentral lists this ribosomal RNA (523 nucleotides) under uncultured Bacteroidota bacterium. RNAcentral describes it as "bacterial SSU rRNA". It matches the Rfam family "Bacterial small subunit ribosomal RNA", at positions 979 to 1512 of the family's 1533-position model. Lineage: Bacteria; Pseudomonadati; Bacteroidota. The record is from RNAcentral.